Molecule: ribosomal RNA, 479 nt
Filed under: uncultured bacterium
Lineage: Bacteria
Description: partial 16S ribosomal RNA
Rfam family: Bacterial small subunit ribosomal RNA
Source: RNAcentral
GACGAACGCUGGCGGCGUGCUUAACACAUGCAAGUCGAGCGAUGAAGCACCUUCGGGUGUGAAUUAGCGGCGAACGGGUGAGGAACACGUGAAGAAUCUGCCUUCAACUCUGGGAUAACUCCGGGAAACCGGGGCUAAUACCGGAUAUGAGCCUUGAUCGCAUGAUCGGGGCUGGAAAGUUUUUCGGUUGAAGAUGACUUCGCGGCCUAUCAGCUUGUUGGUGAGGUAAUGGCUCACCAAGGGGACGACGGGUAGCCGGCCUGAGAGGGCGACCGGCCACACUGGGACUGAGACACGGCCCAGACUCCUACGGGAGGAGGCAGUGGGGAAUAUUGGGCAAUGGAGGAAACUCUGACCCAGCGACGCCGCGUGAGGGAUGAAGGCCUUCGGGUUGUAAACCUCUUUCAGUAGGGAAGAAGCGAAAGUGACGGUACCUACAGAAGAAGCACCGGCUAACUAUGUGCCAGCCGCCGCAGUAA